This 479-nucleotide ribosomal RNA is filed under the name uncultured bacterium. Its description in RNAcentral is "partial 16S ribosomal RNA". It matches the Rfam family "Bacterial small subunit ribosomal RNA", at positions 28 to 507 of the family's 1533-position model. The record is from RNAcentral.
GAUGAACGCUCGCGGGAGGCCUAACACAUGCAAGCCGAGCGGUAUUGUUUCUUCGGAAAUGAGAGAGCGGCGUACGGGUGCGUAACACGUGUGCAACCUGCCUUUAUCUGGGGGAUAGCCUUUCGAAAGGAAGAUUAAUACUCCAUAAUAUAUUGAACGGCAUCGUUUAAUAUUGAAAGCUCCGGCGGAUAGAGAUGGGCACGCGCAAGAUUAGCUAGUUGGUGAGGUAACGGCUCACCAAGGCGAUGAUCUUUAGGGGGCCUGAGAGGGUGAUCCCCCACACUGGUACUGAGACACGGACCAGACUACUACGGGAGGCAGCAGUGAGGAAUAUUGGUCAAUGGGUGCAAGCCUGAACCAGCCAUCCCGCGUGAAGGACGACUGCCCUAGGGGUUGUAAACUUCUUUUGUAUAGGGAUAAACCUACCCUCGAGAGGGUAGCUGAAGGUACUAUACGAAUAAGCACCGGCUAACUCCGUG